This 530-nucleotide long non-coding RNA is filed under the name Salmo salar (Atlantic salmon). Its description in RNAcentral is "lncRNA (ENSSSAG00000108391.1)". The record is from RNAcentral. Lineage: Eukaryota; Metazoa; Chordata; Actinopteri; Salmoniformes; Salmonidae.
UCGUGGCUUUGCAGGCUCUGGUUGAAAAAAAGUAGCGCGUUUGGGUAAUGGCUGGUUACAGUACUGUGAGACUCAGGCUCGUGCCUGCGUCGACAGAAUGCUUUGUUUUCUUUCGUCUGUUUACCUAAACGCAGAUUCCCGGUCGGAAUAUUAUCGCUUUUUUACGAGAAAAAUGGCAUAAAAAUUGAUUUUAAACAGCGGUUGACAUGCUUCGAAGUACGGUAAUGGAAUAUUUAGAAAUCUUUUGUCACGAAUUGCGCCAUGCUCGUGACCCUUACUUACACUUCGGAUAGUGUCUUGAACGCACGAACAAAACGCUGCUAUUUGGAUAUAACGAUGGAUUAUUUUGGACCAAACCAACAUUUGUUAUUGAAGUAGCAGUCCUGGGAGUGCAUUCUGACGAAGACAACAAAGAGAUGGUGUCGCAACUUGAUCUCAUCUAUACAGAGGAGGAGAGGAGGAGAGGAGAUCAGAGGAGGAGAGGAGAUCAGAGGAGGAGAGGAGAUCAGAGGAGGAGAGGAGGAGAGGAG